Molecule: non-coding RNA, 106 nt
Organism: Myotis davidii
Lineage: Eukaryota; Metazoa; Chordata; Mammalia; Chiroptera; Vespertilionidae
Source: Rfam
GUCAGGAUGGCCGAGUGGUCUAAGGCGCCAGACUCAAGCUCUGCUUCCCGGCCCUGGGGGUUCUGGUCUCCGCAUGGAGGCGUGGGUUCGAAUCCCACUUCUGACA